This 85-nucleotide microRNA precursor is filed under the name Cicer arietinum (chickpea). RNAcentral describes it as "mir-156 microRNA precursor family". It matches the Rfam family "mir-156 microRNA precursor family". Rfam says of the family: This family represents the plant microRNA (miRNA) precursor mir-156. Animal miRNAs are transcribed as ~70nt precursors and subsequently processed by the Dicer enzyme to give a ~22nt product. The record is from Rfam by way of RNAcentral. Lineage: Eukaryota; Viridiplantae; Streptophyta; Magnoliopsida; Fabales; Fabaceae.
GUGACAGAAGAGAGUGAGCACACAUGUAUUUUCUUGUAUGAUGUUUCAUGCUUGAAGCUAUGCGUGCUCACUUUCUAUCUGUCAC